ACCGAGACUAGAGUCACACCCUGACACACACUAUUGUCCUGAUGUGCUAUAGUACUCGAAGAGCAAUUACUGAUCUUAUUCACUGACUGGCUCCUUAUAGCUCAGCCAGCCACAUGGUCUGUGACAUUU
This is a small nucleolar RNA of Acipenser ruthenus (sterlet), 129 nucleotides long. RefSeq annotates it as small nucleolar RNA SNORA3/SNORA45 family. The record is from RefSeq and is a predicted model, not a curated record. Lineage: Eukaryota; Metazoa; Chordata; Actinopteri; Acipenseriformes; Acipenseridae. The transcript has a single exon.